This 253-nucleotide ribosomal RNA is filed under the name uncultured bacterium. RNAcentral describes it as "partial 16S ribosomal RNA". It matches the Rfam family "Bacterial small subunit ribosomal RNA", at positions 524 to 776 of the family's 1533-position model. The record is from RNAcentral.
UACGAAGGGAGCAAGCGUUGCUCGGAUUUAUUGGGCGUAAAGGGUGUGUAGAUGGUUUUCUAAGUUAGAUGUGAAAGCCCAGGGCUUAACCCUGGAAUUGCAUUUAAGACUGUAAAACUUGAAGUUCGAAGAGGUUAGCAGAAUUCCCAGUGUAGAGGUGAAAUUCGUAGAUAUUGGGAAGAAUACCAAUGGCGUAGGCAGCUAACUGGUCGACACUUGACGCUGAGGCACGAAAGCGUGGGUAGCAAACAGG